Dunckerocampus dactyliophorus (ringed pipefish) is the source of this 516-nucleotide long non-coding RNA. RefSeq lists it as uncharacterized. The record is from RefSeq and is a predicted model, not a curated record. Lineage: Eukaryota; Metazoa; Chordata; Actinopteri; Syngnathiformes; Syngnathidae. The transcript has 11 exons.
UUUCGCCCGCUGAACUGUCUCAUUCCUCGCGUCCAAUGACAAGUUUGAAGUAUCCUGCGAUGAGGAAAUUCCAUGAAGACCUGCGAUCAAGCCAGAGGGUCCACUUGGUGCUUAACUCUCCUCCUUGACUGCCAGAAGAGGUGAUUUCUUGGCUUACUUGAAGGUUAAAGCAGCAUGCCACAAAAGAUGAUACAUGAGUAGCACAGUUGCAAAGAUGAUGUGCAAGAGGAACAGAAGAAAUCUCUGGACACGUUGAUAGGAGCGCUUUGACGACUGUACAGAAGCUGUCACAGCAGGAUGGAGUCCCGCCUUCUGAUGCAGACUCCAGUUUGACAGUCAAACAUGGCUGACGUGAAGAUAACUGGAUUUUUUUUGCCAGAUGACCUUGGAAGUGGAAGAGCUGCCCUGAUCGCCUGAAGUGGAUUUUUGAAUGGCUGCCAUAAGAUUCUGCUUGUGUAUUGAACGAAAUGUUGACUUACCAGCCAUUGCCAGAAUAAAGCUUCAAAUCCAGCCUGA